RNAcentral lists this ribosomal RNA (237 nucleotides) under uncultured bacterium. RNAcentral describes it as "partial 16S ribosomal RNA". It matches the Rfam family "Bacterial small subunit ribosomal RNA", at positions 118 to 351 of the family's 1533-position model. The record is from RNAcentral.
UGAGUAACCUGCCCUUAACUCUGGGAUAAGCCUGGGAAACUGGGUCUAAUACCGGAUAUGACUCCUCAUCGCAUGGGUGGGGGGUGGAAAGCUUUAUUGUGGUUUUGGAUGGACUCGCGGCCUAUCAGCUUGUUGGUGAGGUAAUGGCUCACCAAGGCGACGACGGGUAGCCGGCCUGAGAGGGUGACCGGCCACACUGGGACUGAGACACGGCCCAGACCUCCGUACGGGGAGCAG